ACCAGACUUGGACCCGGUGAAUCAUCCAGCGUUCUCGCUGGUGCACUUUGCCGGGCUCAGGCCAGCAUCAGUUUGCCCCGGGGGAUAAAGGCCUUGGGAAUGUAGCUUCUUUCGGGGAGUGUUAUAGCCCUCGGUGCAAUGCCGCCUACCUGGACCGAGGACCGCGCUUCGGCUAGGAUGCUGGCGUAAUGGUUGUAAGCGA
Molecule: ribosomal RNA, 202 nt
Filed under: Helotiales sp.
Lineage: Eukaryota; Fungi; Ascomycota; Leotiomycetes; Helotiales
Description: partial large subunit ribosomal RNA
Source: RNAcentral